Molecule: non-coding RNA, 2691 nt
Organism: Manis javanica (Malayan pangolin)
Lineage: Eukaryota; Metazoa; Chordata; Mammalia; Pholidota; Manidae
Source: RefSeq, a predicted model, not a curated record
CUUUGAGAGAUUAGAGUUCCAUCUCCUUACACCCAUAUGCAGGGGCUUCUCACGGGCAUAUAUCUAGGAGCAGAAUUCCUGGCUCAAAGUGUACGGGCAGUUUCAGCCUGAGCAGAUCUGCUGAAGCCUUUAAUCAGAGAAUCCACCCACCUCCAGUAUUUGGGAUUUAUGUGACUACAGUGAUCUGCCCUCAGUGAGGACAAGACUUUACUUGAACCAAUCAGAAUCUUUCCCUGAGGAUUUAUAUGUGUCUGAGAACUCUGCAGGCGGCAGACAUCAAAAGGACCAAAGAUUCUGAUAGUGAGUCAGCCGCCCACGGCAAUGAGACUUAAGCUCCAUGAUAGCAGGGAUUUGGCCAUAUUCACUGUUCUAACCCCACACCUGGAAUCGUGCUUCACCCAAACUGAUGUAUCAGACAUUUCUGUGUCCCACCCUACACCCUCUUGGCCAGCAUUGAACUGUAGCUGUUGCUGUGGCAACCAGCUGUUCACAGGUAGGACCUGAAAGCAACUCAAGUUUAAGUCACUUAUUUCAUGUAUCUCUCACUUUCUUCCCUACAGCUUCUUGUCCCCAAGCAACACAUGGAAUAGUUGCAAAAACCUUCUCAUCCUGAUGCAUCUAUAAACCUAGAAAUGUCACUUUCCAGCAUAAAACACCAACCACCACCUCUUGUCUUGGCUUCUGCUUUAGGAGAUAUCCAGGCUAACUCACCUUUGGAAAAUACUUCAAAAGAAAAGUAAGUAACAGAAUAAAGCAGAAUCUAUUCUGAUACUCUCUGUAAAGGACACAAGACCACACUUUUUUCUUAUUGGCAAGAAAAAGAGGAAACUUUGUAAUGCCAUAAGUAUCCAUCAGGCAUGAAAGCCCCCCAGGUGGAGUGGACUCAGUGCCUCCUGAUGAAGCUGCAGAAGCCCGGCCCCAGCAAGGAGAUGGAGAGCUGUGCUCGAAGAGAUGUGUGAUGCGUGCUGCAGACGAUGGCAUGGCUGAAUGCAAGUCAGAUAUGUGGAAUCAGUCUUCCUGGAGUCAAGGUUCCAGGAGAGCUUGCCUAGAAUCAAGCACACUGACCUCCAUGUUUCUGCUCACUCACACUGGAAUACAAUGAAACAAUGAACUCCAGAAUCUCUUGGACCUUAAAAACUUGUCUCAGAAAUUAAAGCCUUGGAGACAUAAAAGGUGGUUAAUUUUUCUUCUGAUUGGAGAUCAUGACUUUGGAAGAGGCUGGAAAAUGUCAUAAGCAAAUAGCUGGCUCUGAACAAUGGGUCCAGGACAGAUUUGCUUUCUACACCACGUACUAUGAUUCUAGAUAGGCAGACUCCUACAUGAGCGUUUUAUAAAGAUCAGGAAGAAUUAUUCUGGUGGGAGUCAUACAGAUUUGAUAUAGGAGAUAUCAAACUAAAAGGAGGUGAAGAUGGUAAAAAGUAUGUAUUACGGUGAUAGGUGUGAUAUAUGGAGAACAAAGGAAAGAAGUAUUUGACGAUUAUCAAUAGUAAAUAACACAAUAUUCCCAAUAUCCCCAGACUUCUGCAACCUGUAAUGCAAAUGAAGUCAUAUUAGCAUUUGUAUACAAAUUUGACUGCCUCCUUCUGCUUACACCCUCUCCCAUGGGAGUUCCACCCACUGUAAAGGGUCCUCAGAGUAUUUCUAGGGAUUAACAGAGGAUACACUAACCCCUUCUUAGACUUUGGGGAAGAAUCUGCCACCCCUACUUCCCAACCACUAAGUCUGCAGUGCUUACAGGGCUCUCCUUGUCAGCCAGCUCCUGGUGCCUGCAAAGCAAAAACCCUUUUACUUCUAUGUCCCUGCAAGAGAUCCUGUAGUCUUUGAGAAAUGACGUCCCUAAGAAUCUGCAGAGUGAAUUCUAAUCCCAAAUCAAAUGCCAAAUAUGUCACUCACGACAGGCCAAUUUUCAGUGACUCAAUGUCCUUAUCUGUGCUCGGAGAUAAUAAUUUGUGUCUCUCAUAAGAUCACUUUGAUGAAGGAAAAAUAUACGUCGAAGCAUUUUGAAAAAUUAAGGAAGAUCACUAAAUUGUGGUUGUUAUAUUGUUUAGAGUUUGACAAUAUAUAAUAGGUUUCCAUUCAGACAAUCUGUAUGCCUGAGUGGGAGCCAUGGCAUUUGUGUCUAGGUAGUAAUUAGGUUUUUCUUUUCUCAAAAAAGAAAGAAAGAACUUUUGGAUAUUAACACUUCUCAAUGGCUUCAUACUAGGGAAUUCAUUUGAACAAAGGGGCCUAACAGUUCUGUAGCUUUUUGGAGUCUCCUUUUUUCUCAAAUCCCUGUCAAUCUAGUUUUCUAAUCAAAGCAUAUUCUUUGGGGACCCUUGGUGACAGCUGGAAGUCAGAGUUGCAGUUGGUUAUAUUUAUUCAAAGUAUUUUGUAAAGGAUUCUUGAUAGGAAAUUUUAAAUUGGAAAAAAAAAUCUCUGGAGAAAUUAUUACUUCAGAGAAGUGUAAGUAGUCAUGGACUCUGAAAAGGUAUAUAGUAUGGGGAGCAUUUUUCCCACACUGGAAGUUCCAGACAGAAUCACCCAGGGACAUCACCAGCAGUGCUUAUCAGUAAAAAAGAGUUUAUGGUCUGAACAUCUAUUCACUUUAAAAAUCAAAGAAUUAUCAUUGUAUCUAUAGAUUUCUGGCAGGCUUUCUUUUUUUUUGAAGAAAAGAAUGCCUAAUUUCUCCAAGAAAGUAAAUUGAUUUGGUUA